Nomascus leucogenys (northern white-cheeked gibbon) is the source of this 577-nucleotide long non-coding RNA. RefSeq lists it as uncharacterized. The transcript has 3 exons. The record is from RefSeq and is a predicted model, not a curated record. NCBI's taxonomy places the organism in Eukaryota, Metazoa, Chordata, Mammalia, Primates, Hylobatidae.
AGCGAUUCUCCUGUCUCAGCCUCCCGAGCGGGUGGGACUACAGCUGCCAGAGUCUCUCCUGGAGGCGGAUCUUAGCUUUCUGUCUCUGGAAGUUCCUACUCCACCCCUGAUCUUCAGCCAGAAUGGAAGGCAAGAUGGGGACACAGAACGGGUUUAUCAUGACAACGAAGACAAUUCUAAACAGGGGAGGAGGGCGUGGUCUCCACCUCUCCUUCUCCAUUCAAUCAAACAUCAAGCGCUGACUCUGCUAUGUGUCCAGCCUUUAGGAGCGAGAGAGACGUGAGCCUGAAGCCUCAGACAAGCUCCUUAACCCCGCUAAGCCUGCUUCUCACCUGCACAAUGGGGGUAAUAAAACCUACUUCCAAGGGAAAUUCAGUGAUGAAUGCUUAUGGAAUGCUUAGUACUGGCACAUGGUCAUUGGAAAAGAAAUGAAGGCCAUUAUCUGGAGUACUAAGCAGUUCCUGUGGGAUCCAGCCCCAGCCCCAGGGGCCAGCCUGGCACUCACUGAUCUUCUCCAGCUUCUGAUCGCCAUCCUUGAACAGGGCAAAGGUGGCCAUCGCCAGCCUUCGAUGCAGCU